This 72-nucleotide transfer RNA is filed under the name Methanolobus profundi. RNAcentral describes it as "tRNA_Thr_GGT". It matches the Rfam family "tRNA". From Rfam's summary of the family: Transfer RNA (tRNA) molecules are approximately 80 nucleotides in length. Their secondary structure includes four short double-helical elements and three loops (D, anti-codon, and T loops). RNAcentral also lists the same sequence under 5 other names. The record is from RNAcentral. Lineage: Archaea; Methanobacteriati; Methanobacteriota; Methanomicrobia; Methanosarcinales; Methanosarcinaceae.
GCCUCGGUGGCUUAGGGGUAUAGCGCGUCCUUGGUAAGGACGAGGUCGUGGGUUCAAAUCCCACCCGAGGCU